UACGUAGAGUGCAAGCGUUGUCCGGAAUUAUUUGGGGUCGGUAAAAGGGGUAACGGCAGGCGGGUAGGUAAAGUCAAGCGUGAAAGGUGUCGGCUUAACCGACAGACUGCGUUUGAAACUGAUUAUCUUGAGUGUAACAGAGGAGAGUGGAAUUCCUAGUGUAGUGGUGAAAUACGUAGAUAUUAGGAAGAACACCAGUGGCGAAGGCGACUCUCUGGGUUAACACUGACGCUGAGGUACGAAAGCUGGGGGAGCAAACGGGAUUAGAUACCCGGGUAGU
RNAcentral lists this ribosomal RNA (280 nucleotides) under uncultured bacterium. RNAcentral's name for it is "partial 16S ribosomal RNA". It matches the Rfam family "Bacterial small subunit ribosomal RNA", at positions 524 to 794 of the family's 1533-position model. The record is from RNAcentral.